GGAACUCCGAUUCAUCAAUCGUCAAUCCGUCCAGAGAUGGUGAUAAUGACAAUAACAAGGGUGUCGAUCACAUAGUAGAAGUAGAAGGUGGCAGGGAUGAAAGUAAGAAUGAAAACGACGCAGCGGUGGCGACGGAGCUAUUUCUGGAAACCAAUGGAAGGGAAGUGGGCAGGGAUUCAGGGAAUUCUCAGAGACAAGAAGGGCAAGAGAAUGUCUCGUCUAAGAUUGGCCAGGAGAUAAGUGGCGGAGAGGUGCAGGGGAACAUCAGGCGGAGGAGGGGACCCAGGUCUAGGAGCUCACAGUACAGAGGAGUGACGUUCUACAGAAGGACCGGGAGAUGGGA
This 343-nucleotide unclassified non-coding RNA is filed under the name Hevea brasiliensis (rubber tree). The record is from RNAcentral. Lineage: Eukaryota; Viridiplantae; Streptophyta; Magnoliopsida; Malpighiales; Euphorbiaceae.